This 633-nucleotide long non-coding RNA is filed under the name Ananas comosus (pineapple). RNAcentral's name for it is "long non-coding RNA (ACOM_LNC002425)". The record is from RNAcentral. Lineage: Eukaryota; Viridiplantae; Streptophyta; Magnoliopsida; Poales; Bromeliaceae.
AAUUACUCUUAUUUUUUUACACUCAUUUAUUCUAUAGUGCCUAAGUAGAAUUUCUCAAAUUUAUAAAGAAAAACUUCAAAAACCCUCCAGUAGUUUCGUAGUUUCUUAUUUUGCUCUCCUGUGGUUUAAAAUGUAUUAAUUUGCCCCAUGUGGUUUCGUUUUUAUCUUUUCGAUAAUUUUUUCGUUAAUAUUUUAUUAAAUUAUAUAUAAAAAACUUCAGAUACCUAGCUAGAUUUAUCAAAUAUUUACUUUAGUACCCUUUAAUUUUAACUUUAUUAAUAAUUUAAGAAAAAAAAUAAUAAAAUUAAUAAGAAAAAGAGAAAAAAAUAUUAUAGAUGGGUAAAUUGGAGUAGGGCUAGAAUACUUGUAAAAGUAUCAUGGGGGUGAUACUUGUGUGUUUUUAGCCCUUGGAUGGAGAGAUGUGAGGUUGAGAUGAUGGUGGUAGGUGGUGGUAGAUGGAAUAGUGUUUAAUCCAAUGGCUAUUAAUAAUCAAAAAGUAGAUCCAAGAUCUCUUUUAANUGAUACUUAUAAAAGUAUCAUAGCUCAACUCGGUAAAUUGAUACAUUUUAAACUACAUGGCGGUAAAGUGAGAAACUACGAAACAACGUGGAGGUUUUUUGAAGUUUUCCCAAU